RNAcentral lists this ribosomal RNA (1227 nucleotides) under Staphylococcus pseudintermedius. RNAcentral's name for it is "partial 23S ribosomal RNA". It matches the Rfam family "Bacterial large subunit ribosomal RNA", at positions 1625 to 2853 of the family's 2925-position model. The record is from RNAcentral. Lineage: Bacteria; Bacillati; Bacillota; Bacilli; Caryophanales; Staphylococcaceae.
AGCUAGAAUAACGGUGCCCGUACCGCAAACCGACACAGGUAGUCAAGAUGAGAAUUCUAAGGUGAGCGAGCGAACUCUCGUUAAGGAACUCGGCAAAAUGACCCCGUAACUUCGGGAGAAGGGGUGCUCUUUGAGGUUCACGCUUCGAAGAGCCGCAGUGAAUAGGCCCAAGCGACUGUUUAUCAAAAACACAGGUCUCUGCUAAACCGUAAGGUGACGUAUAGGGGCUGACGCCUGCCCGGUGCUGGAAGGUUAAGAGGAGUGGUUAGCGCAAGCGAAGCUACGAAUCGAAGCCCCAGUAAACGGCGGCCGUAACUAUAACGGUCCUAAGGUAGCGAAAUUCCUUGUCGGGUAAGUUCCGACCCGCACGAAAGGCGUAACGAUUUGGGCACUGUCUCAACGAGAGACUCGGUGAAAUCAUAGUACCGGUGAAGAUGCCGGUUACCCGCGACAGGACGGAAAGACCCCGUGGAGCUUUACUGUAGCCUGAUAUUGAAAUUCGGUACAGUUUGUACAGGAUAGGUAGGAGCCUUAGAAGCGUGAGCGCUAGCUUACGUGGAGGCAUUGGUGGGAUACUACCCUAAUUGUAUUGGAUUUCUAACCCGCAGCACUUAUCGUGCUGGGAGACAGUGUCAGGCGGGCAGUUUGACUGGGGCGGUCGCCUCCUAAAGAGUAACGGAGGCGCUCAAAGGUUCCCUCAGAAUGGUUGGAAAUCAUUCAUAGAGUGUAAAGGCAUAAGGGAGCUUGACUGCGAGACCUACAAGUCGAGCAGGGUCGAAAGACGGACUUAGUGAUCCGGUGGUUCCGCAUGGAAGGGCCAUCGCUCAACGGAUAAAAGCUACCCCGGGGAUAACAGGCUUAUCUCCCCCAAGAGUUCACAUCGACGGGGAGGUUUGGCACCUCGAUGUCGGCUCAUCGCAUCCUGGGGCUGUAGUCGGUCCCAAGGGUUGGGCUGUUCGCCCAUUAAAGCGGUACGCGAGCUGGGUUCAGAACGUCGUGAGACAGUUCGGUCCCUAUCCGUCGUGGGCGUAGGAAAUUUGAGAGGAGCUGUCCUUAGUACGAGAGGACCGGGAUGGACAUACCUCUGGUGUACCAGUUGUCGUGCCAACGGCAUAGCUGGGUAGCUAUGUAUGGACGGGAUAAGUGCUGAAAGCAUCUAAGCAUGAAGCCCCCCUCGAGAUGAGAUUUCCCAACUUCGGUUAUAAGAUCCCUCAAAGAUGAUGAGGU